UGGUUUUAAACAAGUUGUUUUAUUGCCGAUGAUUUUAUUUGGUGUUGUUUGAUUGUGGUGAUUGAUUGGUGUGAUUGUUUGCAACGUGUAGAUUGUGCGGAGUGCGACGCAAACUAUUGUCAGGAGUGUGACCUUCUGAAUCAGAAUCAAGGCAAGUUACAUGUUGAUCAUCCUUUACCUAUUAUUUUUCUAUGCAUGUAGUAUUAUACCGUCCUAUGAAAAUUAUGCAUGUAUAGGAAUAUUAUUAUUGCUAUGCUAUUGAGCUAUAUCCCCUCGUCGUUGAAGAUCGUGGUAUUUGUAGUUUUGCUAUGCUAUGUAGACGGGGAUUGGUUUCUGUAUUCAUUGAGUUUAUGUGAGGAUUACUACAAAAUAAAUUUAGUAGUAAUUCAGGAUAUAAUACACCUCUGGGCGGAUAUGGUAUUGCUGGGUGGUUUCAAGAACAUCAUGGUUUCUACCCUCUGAAUGUAAGUGGAAUGCCGCUCAGGUUCAAAAAGAUCAAACAGACUUAGUGACUAGUAGCUUCCUUGUGCGACCACUGGCCAUUAUGGG
Molecule: long non-coding RNA, 549 nt
Filed under: Hordeum vulgare
Lineage: Eukaryota; Viridiplantae; Streptophyta; Magnoliopsida; Poales; Poaceae
Description: long non-coding RNA (HVUL_LNC002001)
Source: RNAcentral